This is a long non-coding RNA of Eriocheir sinensis (Chinese mitten crab), 1962 nucleotides long. RefSeq lists it as uncharacterized. The transcript is spliced from 4 exons. The record is from RefSeq and is a predicted model, not a curated record. NCBI's taxonomy places the organism in Eukaryota, Metazoa, Arthropoda, Malacostraca, Decapoda, Varunidae.
CAUCACACGCAUAUGGCUGUUGGGGGGACGGGGGAGCCGGGUGUGCAGGGGAGGGAAGUGAAUCAAGUGUAAUUGUUAGUGUUGGUGUGUUGUGGUGACAAGUGAGUAUGUAUUUGUUUUCUGAAUGAGUCUAUUGUACCACAGUCUAAAAUCUGUUGAGGGAGGCUGUUCCAGUCACGUAUGGUGCGUGGAAAGUAUGAGUGCUUGUAUGCAUCAGUGUUAGUGUGAUAUGUUUGGUAUUUAUGGAUGUGUGUGUUACGAGUACGUUGACUGUUUGCGUUGUGUAGGUAUGUUUGUGGGUCAAUGUCAAUGUGAGUGUUUGUGAUCUUGUACAUAAGUGUAAGUCUGUGUGCUUGUCUGUGUAUGUGAAGAGGGUCCAUGCUUAUCGGUUGUUUGAUAAGUGUUGUGAUGCCAGGCGUUCAAGUGUAAUUGUUUGUAAUGAACCUAUAGCCGCCUUGGUGUUGAUUUGUUCUAACCUAUCAAUGUUUCUGUGUGUGUAAGGAUCCCACACCGUGGAGCAGUAUUCCAGUGUUGGUCUCACAAGUGUGUCAUAAGCUAUGUGUUUAAUGUCAGGUGUGCAGUUAUGUAAAUUCCUCCUCAGGAACCCCAGCGUUCUGUUGGCAAAGAUGUAUGCCUUUGGAUCCGGGGGCGGCCUGAUUGAAACAUACAAGAUUGUAACACAGAAAUACGAUCAAGAAUGUACAAGAGGGAUUUUUUUGGAUGAGGGAGGAUAAUAUAACCAGAUGAAACACAAGAUAUUCCAGACAAGAUCAAGUCUCAACACCAGGGAGUACGCUUUUCCAACAGGGACGACACCAGCUGGAAUAAUUUGCCGGGGUGGUGGUAAAUGCCGAAACUGUUAAAAUUUGAAUCGUCUCGACAAAGUGUGGGAGGGUCAGGACCUAAAAUAUAACCACAGAACACACACCACCACCACACGCAGCCAACACUCCGAAAACUUGGAGCGCCUCAGCUAUAUUAAGGCCUCUUCCAGAACAUCAUGUACGUGUCACUUAUGUGAGUAUCUGUGAGAGGUUUGCAGGUUAGUAGAAUAGAACAGAUUCGUGCUGUAGGUAUGAUUAACAGUAUAAGCAACACACUAUAGCAUUAUCUUACCCCCCAUGGUCCUGGACAUAAGAACAUAAGAAUUAAGUAGAAUAGAACAGAUUCGUGCUGUAGGUAUGAUUAACAGUAUAAGCAACACACUAUAGCAUUAUCUUACCCCCCAUGGUCCUGCACAUAAGAACAUAAGAAGUAGAAUAGAACAGAUUCGUGCCGUAGCAACACACAAUAGCAUUAUCUAAUUUAUCUUACCCCCCAUGGUCCAGGACACACCAACUCCACGUCUCCACCCACGGCAGUUCACCAUUGCGAGCUUUUAUUAGCAAGACGGUAACAGUGGGACCAACUCAACUCUACCCCGUUAUCAAGGAAGACCACAAAUCACCACUACAGAUCACCGCUACUGUUCACUACGCAAUGCACGCCGCGCCCUAGACAGCAAAUGAUCACCUGAAGCCUCACACGAGAAGAGAAACUUUUGAGGUGAGUGGAAUACGUUAAUAUCUUUGUCAAGGUGAAAUUGUGCAACCCUUCAAAUGUUUCAGUAUACCUAUUUACUAAUCCCUGGCGGCGGAUAUUGUAUGUAUGCUCGAGACAACCUUAUAUAGCAGCACCAACCCUGUGUGUGUGUGUGUGCUGAGGACCUUCUCAACAUACAGAAUAUUAUUACAGAAAUUUCAGAAGCAAGAAAAUCACGUGAUAUGUGUGUGUGUGUGUGUGUGUGUGUAACAACAGGCCGGCCCUGACACCUAACAAUCAUUUCCACAGUUUCGCAGAUGGUAGUAAUUAACACCAAGAGAAAGAAAGACAACGCAAGAGAGAGAGAGAGAGAGAGAGAGAGAGAGAGAGAGAGAGAGAGAGAGAGAGAGAGAGAGAGAGAGAGAGAGAGAGAGAGAGAGA